AUACGUAGGGGGCAAGCGUUAUCCGGAUUUACUGGGUGUAAAGGGAGCGUAGACGGUUCUGCAAGUCUGGAGUGAAAGCCCGGGGCUCAACCCCGGGACUGCUUUGGAAACUGUGGAACUGGAGUGCAGGAGAGGUAAGUGGAAUUCCUAGUGUAGCGGUGAAAUGCGUAGAUAUUAGGAGGAACACCAGUGGCGAAGGCGGCCAGCUGGGCUUUUACUGACGCUGAGGCUCGAAAGCGUGGGGAGC
Molecule: ribosomal RNA, 247 nt
Filed under: uncultured bacterium
Lineage: Bacteria
Description: partial 16S ribosomal RNA
Rfam family: Bacterial small subunit ribosomal RNA
Source: RNAcentral